CCCCCUUAAGAGAAUGGAAUUCAACGAAAGGAUCAUCACAAAUGAAAAAGGAAAAGAGUACAAGUCAAGCUCUACAUACAUAGAUGAAGAUCAACAAUUGAAUAAGUUCUAAUACAAUUGAAGUAGAUAUGCAAUGAAAAUAAUGAAGAAACUCAUAGCUCCGGAAACAUUUACUGGACUUGAUCUAUAAGGUGCCCAACUGCCCAUAUCUUUCAAAACAUCUAUCCUAAUGAUGCUGCUGCGCAAACAGAUCCUUCUUCUCUUGCUUCUCUUUGUUUUCUCCCUGCAGCUUCAUUUCAAAGCUUCGACAUCAUUCAUUCAAAACACUCUUAAUAUGCUUUUCUGGAAUAUGUUCUAUCUUUGGCCAAUCUUCACCGCCUUCUGCACAUCUCUCUUUCAGUAAAGCACACUCCAUGAUAGACAAUGAACGAAGCGAAGCUGGCAACCCUGAAGCUGGUAAGCAUGCAAGUUUUGGGCAAGAUUGUAUAGACAAACUUUCAAGAUUUCGGAGUUCAUGGAGACACACAGGAAGUGAUUCAAGGUUGGCACAUGAUAAAAGCCUCAAAUUCUUGAGUGAGAUUCCUAGCUUCUCUUCGGGAAAAGACACAAUUUUAGGACAUUUGGAAAUAUGCAGCUCCUCAAGAGAGAAUACAUUUUGUAGUCCACUAGGUAGAUUCUUCAAAGUAUUGCACAUGUCAAUUGAAAGAUGUUGCAGCGAACUGGGAAGCCCCUUUUCAGCAAAUGACAGCAGCUUUGGACAGCAUGAGAUUUCCAAUCUUUGGAGAGACUGAAGAUCUUGUACACCUAACUCAUUUUGCAAUGCCUUGAAUCGGUGCAAGUUCUUGAUUUUGAGUUUUUUCAGGGCAGUUAGUGGUUGAAGAAGACCAUCAGGUAAUAAAUCUACUCUCCGGAAGUUCAAAAUCUCCAAAGAGGAUAAGGAGGUGAGGAAAUGCACUGAACACAAUACUCUCUCAUGACAAUUAUCUAGCAACAGAUCACUCAGUGAUGGAAAUUUUGGAAGGUUGGUAAUGCUGGGACAGUUCAAAACUUCAAGCUGCUCAAGCACAGGGAAUUCUCCAUGAUCAAUCUCUUCCCAUUCCUUCAAACUUCUCAUCUCUUCGAGCUUUAGUUUCUUCAAAGAAGGGAACCCCUUAAUCUUACCAUUCCCAUAGAACUCACGACCAAUGCUUUCGAGCUCUAGCAUCAUACAUAUGGUGAGAUAUUUGAGAAACGGUAGCUG
RNAcentral lists this unclassified non-coding RNA (1240 nucleotides) under Hevea brasiliensis (rubber tree). The record is from RNAcentral. Lineage: Eukaryota; Viridiplantae; Streptophyta; Magnoliopsida; Malpighiales; Euphorbiaceae.